UAUGCUUCAGCUCCUGCCCAAUCACUUAC
RNAcentral lists this non-coding RNA (29 nucleotides) under Mus musculus (house mouse). The record is from RNAcentral. Lineage: Eukaryota; Metazoa; Chordata; Mammalia; Rodentia; Muridae.